This 428-nucleotide ribosomal RNA is filed under the name uncultured bacterium. Its description in RNAcentral is "bacterial SSU rRNA". It matches the Rfam family "Bacterial small subunit ribosomal RNA", at positions 355 to 776 of the family's 1533-position model. The record is from RNAcentral.
UAGGGAAUCUUCCGCAAUGGACGAAAGUCUGACGGAGCAACGCCGCGUGAGUGAUGAAGGUUUUCGGAUCGUAAAGCUCUGUUGCCAGGGAAGAACGCUUGGGAGAGUAACUGCUCUCAAGGUGACGGUACCUGAGAAGAAAGCCCCGGCUAACUACGUGCCAGCAGCCGCGGUAAUACGUAGGGGGCAAGCGUUGUCCGGAAUUAUUGGGCGUAAAGCGCGCGCAGGCGGCCUUGUAAGUCUGUUGUUUAAACUCGGGGCUCAACCCCGAGUCGCAAUGGAAACUGCAAAGCUUGAGUGCAGAAGAGGAAAGUGGAAUUCCACGUGUAGCGGUGAAAUGCGUAGAGAUGUGGAGGAACACCAGUGGCGAAGGCGACUUUCUGGGCUGUAACUGACGCUGAGGCGCGAAAGCGUGGGGAGCAAACAGG